UCUGGGGACAGGUUGGGGGUCGGAGCAGCAGGCAGCUUGGACAGGAGGUGUGCUGGCAAGAGCCCUGGCACGUGUCUUUCUGCAGAGACACAAACCUACAGAGCAGGAGAGUCAGAUUUCUGUUACAACAUGCAACACGAAAAGAGAAAAGAAGGGUUUGUUCAGGUUCAUCGAGUCACCUGGCAGAGCAGAUUUCAGACGGGUUGGCCUGACAGUAUUCCCUGGUGCACUCCGGGUGACAGGACUCUGGAUCCACUGGUUCGAUCACUGCAGGAAACAGGAGAGGUGAAUCUCUCGCAACUCAUGAAACUCUGCCUUUGAAUAGAGACUAUUUACAUAUUUUCCUGAGCAGCGGGAAAAAAAAAAUGAAAAAGGUGUCAAAAUCCCCAAUCUCGCGCUGCAUCCGAUACCGUAUCGAUAAGGGUGACAACUCCUCACCACGGAGAGAUAAGAGGCGUAAUGACGGCUUAACUGUGAGCAGGAACCUUUGAUUCAAAGGAAGCCUUGAGCACACUAUCGGUCCUCACGGCCCAUAAACAGCAUUUACUUUACUGGCAACGUUCCCACUGCAGUGACUUCAGUGGUUACUUGAGUACUGUAGUCGAGAAAAUGGUGAUUCAUGCAUUUCUUUUGUCAAAUUAUACCAACGAUGUUAAAUGACCUGCUCGACACUAAACUGAGGUGUAGUCCCACCUGCUCUGCAGACCCCUCUGCGCUCCUUGUCCGGCUUGUCAUCAGCCGCGUCCUGGUAAACGCAGACCAGGCCCUCGUCACACUUGCCCAGAUAGUCCCACGACCCCCCGCAGGUCUCCCCCUCUGUCCGGGCGCAGACAGGGCAGCAGCCGCAGACGCCCGUCGUGACGCCACCUUGACACUGGAGCUUCAGCGCCCGCCGGGUGGAGCAGUGUAUCCUCUCGCAGGGCGGGCAGUGAAGGGCCUGGAGCUGCCGGGCAGCCCCCGAGGGCGUCUCCUCGGAGCCCAACGCCCCCACCAAGGCACUAAAGAAGAUGAAGAAGAGCAUCCACAUCCUUGACAGACCUCAAGUUACCCUGAGGGGAGAGCAGCUGUCAGCACCUUUUAUACACCUGGUGAAGCUUCAUACGUUUAUGAGCCACACACCUCCACCCCCCACCAGCAGCCAAUAGAUGAGGGCAGGGGGGGUUUCAAUGGGUGGAUUUUGUCUAAAAUACACAGUUAAUUAUCCCCACGUCUUAUCUACACACUUUGAUUUUGUUUUGAAAUAAUUCUUCCUUCUGAGCACCGUCAGAUAAGUGUGAUGAAGACUGGCCCCCUUUGUGUUUGCAGUCACAUGACCUCUGGAAGGGGCAAUUCAGUGCACAAGUGCAAUCAGUUAAUGACCUAUUUCUUCAAAGAACAAUGGGAUUAGGACAUCAACAGGUUAUCUGAUCGGGACAAGUUUCCCGUAUCCAAAUGAAAACUGGCAGCUUGUCUACAGAUGGACACGGUCACUUGGAGUUAUAUCACUGAAAAAAGGAAAUUUAGGAAAGUAAAAAUAUAUAUGUUUUGCAUCAGAAAAGUAAUCAAAUUUUAAGAAAAUAUUCCUGCGGUUCAAGGUUCAAGUUUUGUUAUUGUCCUUCCAAACAUCUACAUGAAAAGAACAGAAUUCUGCAAGAGCAGGUCCCCGUGCUCAUCUUAAGAAAUAAAUAAUUAGUAUCUAAAAUAGAGAAAGAAAUGUCUAAAAUAACAAGUUAAAACAUUGACAUUGACUGACAUUGACUUAUCCCAGCUAAUAUUUUGCAAAUUUUAACGAGUAGCAAGUUACAACAGUGGUUUCAAAUGAUCCCAGCAGAGGAACAAGAUUGUUGAUUCUUAAUUUCAGAAUCCUAUGAAAUGACAUGAGUUAAAGUAUAUUCAUCUAUUAUUAUUCACUGCAACUGAUUCCAAACAGAAUUAUAUGAUAUUAAGAUAACCGUGUUGUGGUCUAAAAAACAUACAAUACAAUACAAAUGACUAUUGUUAUGUUAUGCUGUUGGAAUAACUGGAGUAUAACUGAAAAAAGCUUCUCAGUCAAUGAUUGAUCUGGACUCCUAUGGUGCCUGUGGAGAAAGUGACAUGUUCCUUUAUGAUCAAUGAAGCAGAAGAUUAUUUUCUAUAUUUUGAUUUAAAAAAAAUUAGAGGAAUGUUUCUUAAAUCAAGACAAAGUAACUGGUUUUUAUUAACUGUUUUUUUUUUGCUGUUCAACAAUCUUAUAUAGGUUCUAGAAAAUAUUCUUUUGAAAAUAGAUUCAGUGCUUUCUAAGAUGCAGCAGACACUCUGCCAUCUGCUUGAUUACUUCUACAGUUGUGUUUACUCCACAAAGAUGUUUUUCUCAUAUGACCUUGAAUUGAGAUUGUGACGCCAAGGUCAAGAUUAAAAAUCAAGCUAAUUUAUCUUGUCUACUGCUUCGUUGUACUGGAGUAACUAUUACACACCAAGGUUGUAUCAUUUGAAUUAUUAGUAGGAAGCGGAGUCUUAUGAAAAUGAAUUUAUUUUCAAGGAAACCAUUGAGUAACACUGAAUACAACAGGAGUGUGAUCAUUCAAUAGUCAAUAAAACUCGUGACUCCCACAUACAAGACGUCUUGGAAAACAAGAUUUGAAAGCAAACUUGUUGGCAAUUUGCUGGUGCUACAAUUAUUCUUUUUCUUUUUUCAAAUCCCCACAUACCAAAUUGAGGCGAUACACACCUGUGUAGAAAAGUGACAAGAUUUGACAUUAACUUACAAAGGGCUGGAUGUCAAAGUGCAAGAUGCCUGAACCCCCCUCCCCUCCCCCACCACUCGUCAUCAAAGAGGACGAUCACGGUAUUGAAAUCAGAGAUGGAAUCUCAAAUACAAAUCUCAAAAAUUAUUGUUACGCCAUUAUGGCUUUGUAUUCAGUUGAGACCCUAUUCUAGCUUACAUUACAUAGCUUUAAAAUAUCAUUUCAGAAACACUGUCCUCUCAAAGAUACAUUAUCAUUAUUAUUUUUAAACUGCACCUUAUUACAGACAACUGCAUGUAAUGGAGUAAAGCUUCACAGGGAAAAAUGCAGGCGUACAACAGAAAAGCAGCAUUUCAUCAACAACUUCAAACAAAACACACUAACAUCUUGUUGGUUUAUAAAAGAAACCGAAUCGAAGAAUACGUACUAAAAUCUGAAGAGAAAAAAAAAAGACUUAAAAACCUCGGAAGAAAGAAAAAAGUAUGUACAUAUAUUUACAAGUAAAUAGAGUGAAUAUUAUACAGGUUCGACUGGCCGGUCAAAGUCAGGCUGAAGCCAACGAGGUCCAAGAAAAUCCAACACUGCAUGACAUUCAGUUUAGUCAAUCCAAAAUGUUCCUAAGACAAAAGACCUUCCAGGAGGUCAUCUUCAAGGUCACACCGAGAAGAAGCGAGUGAAAAG
Molecule: long non-coding RNA, 3383 nt
Organism: Scophthalmus maximus (turbot)
Lineage: Eukaryota; Metazoa; Chordata; Actinopteri; Pleuronectiformes; Scophthalmidae
Exons: 2
Source: RefSeq, a predicted model, not a curated record